AUGGCUCAGAUGAACGCUGGCGGCGUGCUUAACACAUGCAAGUCGAACGCGAAAGGGACUUCGGUCCUGAGUAAAGUGGCGCACGGGUGAGUAACGCGUGGAUAAUCUGCCCUUAUGAUCGGGAUAACAGUUGGAAACGGCUGCUAAUACCGGAUACGCUCAAAAUGAACUUUUUGAGGAAAGAUGGCCUCUGCUUGCAUGCUAUCACGUAAGGAUGAGUCCGCGUCCCAUUAGCUUGUUGGCGGGGUAACGGCCCACCAAGGCAACGAUGGGUAGCCGAUUUGAGAGGAUGAUCGGCCACACUGGAACUGAAACACGGUCCAGACUCCUACGGGAGGCAGCAGUGGGGAAUAUUGCGCAAUGGGCGAAAGCCUGACGCAGCGACGCCGCGUGAGGGAUGAAGGUUUUCGGAUCGUAAACCUCUGUCAGAAGGGAAGAAACUACGUUGUGCUAAUCAGCAGCGUACUGACGGUACCUUCAAAGGAAGCACCGGCUAACUCCGUGCCAGCCGCCGC
Molecule: ribosomal RNA, 515 nt
Filed under: uncultured bacterium
Lineage: Bacteria
Description: bacterial SSU rRNA
Rfam family: Bacterial small subunit ribosomal RNA
Source: RNAcentral